RNAcentral lists this ribosomal RNA (461 nucleotides) under uncultured bacterium. RNAcentral's name for it is "partial 16S ribosomal RNA". It matches the Rfam family "Bacterial small subunit ribosomal RNA", at positions 338 to 795 of the family's 1533-position model. The record is from RNAcentral.
CCUACGGGGGGCAGCAGUGAGGAAUAUUGGUCAAUGGGCUUACGCCUGAACCAGCCAAGUCGCGUGAGGGAAGACUGCCCUAUGGGUUGUAAACCUCUUUUGUCAGGGAGCAACGCCGGCUACGUGUAGCCGGACUGAGAGUACCUGAAGAAAAAGCAUCGGCUAACUCCGUGCCAGCAGCCGCGGUAAUACGUAGGGGGCAAGCGUUAUCCGGAAUUACUGGGUGUAAAGGGAGCGUAGACGGUGAUGCAAGUCUGGAGUGAAAGGCGGGGGCCCAACCCCCGGACUGCUCUGGAAACUGGGUAACUUGAGUGCAGGAGAGGUAAGCGGAAUUCCUAGUGUAGCGGUGAAAUGCGUAGAUAUUAGGAGGAACACCAGUGGCGAAGGCGGCUUACUGGACUGUAACUGACGUUGAGGCUCGAAAGCGUGGGGAGCAAACAGGAUUAGAUACCCCAGUAGUC